RNAcentral lists this ribosomal RNA (497 nucleotides) under uncultured bacterium. RNAcentral describes it as "partial 16S ribosomal RNA". It matches the Rfam family "Bacterial small subunit ribosomal RNA", at positions 28 to 507 of the family's 1533-position model. The record is from RNAcentral.
GACGAACGCUGGCGGCGUGCCUAAUACAUGCAAGUUGAGCGAUGAAGAUUGGUGCUUGCACCAAUUUGAAGAGCAGCGAACGGGUGAGUAACGCGUGGGGAAUCUGCCUUUGAGCGGGGGACAACAUUUGGAAACGAAUGCUAAUACCGCAUAACAACUUUAAACAUAAGUUUUAAGUUUGAAAGAUGCAUUUGCAUCACUCAAAGAUGAUCCCGCGUUGUAUUAGCUAGUUGGUGAGGUAAAGGCUCACCAAGGCGAUGAUACAUAGCCGACCUGAGAGGGUGAUCGGCCACAUUGGGACUGAGACACGGCCCAAACUCCUACGGGAGGCAGCAGUAGGGAAUCUUCGGCAAUGUACGAAAGUCUGACCGAGCAACGCCGCGUGAGUGAAGAAGGUUUUCGGAUCGUAAAACUCUGUUGGUAGAGAAGAACGUUGGUGAGAGUGGAAAGCUCAUCAAGUGACGGUAACUACCCAGAAAGGGACGGCUAACUACGUG